This is a small nuclear RNA of Nannospalax galili (Upper Galilee mountains blind mole rat), 158 nucleotides long. Its record names the gene U1. It matches the Rfam family "U1 spliceosomal RNA". From Rfam's summary of the family: U1 is a small nuclear RNA (snRNA) component of the spliceosome (involved in pre-mRNA splicing). The record is from Ensembl. NCBI's taxonomy places the organism in Eukaryota, Metazoa, Chordata, Mammalia, Rodentia, Spalacidae.
AAAUGUGGCAGGGGAGACACCAUGAUCAGGAAGGUGGUUUUCCAAGGACGGCUUGUCUGUUGCACUUGGGAUGUGCUAGUCCCUGCGAUUUCCCCAAAUUCAGGAAACUUGACUGCGUAAUUUGUGGUAGUGGGGGACUGCAUUCAUACUCUCCCCUG